GUGCUCGAAAAUGUUAAAGUUCUUAUUUCAUGGUAUAACUUUGGUAUGCUUGGACCUAGAGUCUUCAAACUUGACAUGAAGGUUGGCCAGGAUUAACAGAUGACCACUGGUCAUUUCAAGGUCAUUCAUUUGAAGGUCAAGGUCACUGUGACCUUCAAUAUAAAAAAUGUUAAAGUUGUUAUAACUUUGGUAUGCUUGGACCUAGAGUCUUGAAACUUGACAUGAAGGUUGGCCAUAACUAGUUAGUAACCACUGGUCAUUUCAAGGUCAUUCAUUUGAAGGUCAAGGUCACUGUGACCUUGAAUGUAAAAAUGUUAAAGUUCUUAUUUCAUGGUAUAACUUUGGUAUGCUUGGACCUAGAGUCUUCAAACUUGACAUGAAGGUUGGCCAGGAUUAACAGAUGACCACUGGUCAUUUCAAGGUCAUUCAUUUGAAGGUGAAGGUCACUGUGACCUUCAAUAUAAAAAUGUUAAAGUUGUUAUAACUUUGGUAUGCUUGGACCUAGAGUCUUGAAACUUGACAUGAAGGUUGGCCAGAACUAGUAAGUAACCACUGGACAUUUCAAGGUCAUUCAUUUGAAGGUCAAGGUCACUGUGACCUUGAAUGUAAAAAUGUUAAAGUUCUUAUUUCAUGUUAUAACUUUGGUAUGCUUGUACCUAGAGUCUUCAAACUUGAAAUAAAGAUUGGCCAGUACUAGAAGAUGACCACUGGUCAUUUCAAUGU
Molecule: long non-coding RNA, 723 nt
Organism: Dreissena polymorpha
Lineage: Eukaryota; Metazoa; Mollusca; Bivalvia; Myida; Dreissenidae
Exons: 2
Source: RefSeq, a predicted model, not a curated record